RNAcentral lists this transfer RNA (86 nucleotides) under Phycisphaerae bacterium. RNAcentral's name for it is "tRNA-Leu". It matches the Rfam family "tRNA". From Rfam's summary of the family: Transfer RNA (tRNA) molecules are approximately 80 nucleotides in length. The record is from RNAcentral. Lineage: Bacteria; Pseudomonadati; Planctomycetota; Phycisphaerae.
GCCGGUGUGGCGGAACUGGCAGACGCGACGGAUUCAAAAUCCGUUUCCCCUCAAAGGGAGUGCAGGUUCGAUUCCUGUCACCGGCA